RNAcentral lists this ribosomal RNA (157 nucleotides) under uncultured bacterium. RNAcentral describes it as "partial 16S ribosomal RNA". It matches the Rfam family "Bacterial small subunit ribosomal RNA", at positions 356 to 509 of the family's 1533-position model. The record is from RNAcentral.
GAGGAAUAUUGGUCAAUGGGCGAGAGCCUGAACCAGCCAAGUCGCGUGAGGGAGUACUGCCCUAUGGGUUGUAAAACCUCUUUUGUCGGGGGAGCAAAAGCCGGACGUGUCCGUCUGUGAGAGUACCCGAAGAAAAAGCAUCGGCUAACUCCGUGCC